UGUAGAGGGAGUUUCGGAAGCGGCGCCGGCCUAAGUUCCUUGGAACAGGGCGUCAUAGAGGGUGAGAAUCCCGUACGUGGCCGGCGGUCAAUUCCAUGUGAAACCCCUUCGACGAGUCGAGUUGUUUGGGAAUGCAGCUCAAAAUGGGUGGUAAAUUUCAUCUAAAGCUAAAUACUGGCCAGAGACCGAUAGCGCACAAGUAGAGUGAUCGAAAGAUGAAAAGCACUUUGGAAAGAGAGUUAAAAAGUACGUGAAAUUGUUGAAAGGGAAGCGCUUGCAAUCAGACUUGCUCGCGGGUGAUCAGCCCCCCUUCGCGGGGGGUGCACUCGCCCGCGAUCAGGCCAGCAUCGGUUUCGACGGGCGGAUAAAGGCCCCAGGAAUGUAGCUCCCCUCGGGGAGUGUUAUAGCCUGGGGUGCCAUGCGCCCAGUCGGGACCGAGGACCGCGCUUCGGCUAGGAUGCUGGCGUAAUGGUUGUAAGCGACCCGUCUUGAAACACGGACCAAGGAGUCUAACAUCUAUGCGAGUGUUUGGGUGGUAAACCCAUGCGCGGAAUGAAAGUGAACGGAGGUGUGAGCCCUUUUCGGGGGGCGCACCAUCGACCGAUCCAGAUGUCUUCGGAUGGAUUUGAGUAGGAGCAUAGCUGUUGGGACCCGAAAGAUGGUGAACUAUGCCUGGAUAGGGUGAAGCCAGAGGAAACUCUGGUGGAGGCUCGCAGCGGUUCUGACGUGCAAAUCGAUCGUCAAAUCUGGGUAUAGGGGCGAAAGGUGCGUGAUAAUUGUAGUGUAAACAUUUGUGGAACGACUGCUAACUUUUUCAAUAGACUAAUCGAACCAUCUAGUAAACCACUACUAGAGAUACUACACGAAAAGGGGCCGAUAAAAUCGCCUCUGUAGUCCCCCGUCGCUGGGGGGCAACAUCGCCGGUCUCCGGGAACACCCUAUUAUCGGGCUACCCUCACUGAGCUCCGGCUCAGUCACAGACUAAGUGGCGGUGGCCGCGGGAGCCCGCGGUUAGGAUAUAGUCGGCGGGACCUCUGGCGAGGUACUCGGUUCGCGAGCUGGUUUCAGCCGAAGUUUCCCUCAGGAUAGCAGUAACGUUUUCAGUUUUAUGAGGUAAAGCGAAUGAUUAGAGGCCUCGGGGGUGAAACACC
Molecule: ribosomal RNA, 1151 nt
Filed under: Aspicilia diploschistiformis
Lineage: Eukaryota; Fungi; Ascomycota; Lecanoromycetes; Pertusariales; Megasporaceae
Description: partial large subunit ribosomal RNA
Rfam family: Eukaryotic large subunit ribosomal RNA
Source: RNAcentral